This 253-nucleotide ribosomal RNA is filed under the name uncultured bacterium. RNAcentral's name for it is "partial 16S ribosomal RNA". It matches the Rfam family "Bacterial small subunit ribosomal RNA", at positions 524 to 776 of the family's 1533-position model. The record is from RNAcentral.
UACGUAGGGUGCGAGCGUUAAUCGGAAUUAUUGGGCGUAAAGCGCACGUAGGCGGUUUGUUAUGUCGGAUGUGAAAGCCCUUGGCUCAACUGAGGAAGUGCAUCCGAAACUGGCAAGCUAGAGUAUGUAAGAGGGUCGCGGAAUUCCCGGUGUAGAGGUGAAAUUCGUAGAUAUCGGGAGGAACACCGGUGGCGAAGGCGGCGACCUGGGACAAUACUGACGCUGAGGUGCGAAAGCGUGGGGAGCAAACAGG